Molecule: ribosomal RNA, 869 nt
Filed under: uncultured archaeon
Lineage: Archaea
Description: bacterial SSU rRNA
Rfam family: Archaeal small subunit ribosomal RNA
Source: RNAcentral
CUCCGGUUGAUCCCGCCCGACCCGACUGCUAUCAGAGUGGGACUAAGCCAUGCGAGUCGACGUAGCAAUGCGUGGCGAACGGCUCAGUAACACGUAGUCAACAUGCCCAGGGGACGUGGAUAACCUCGGGAAACUGAGAAUAAACCACGAUAGGUCACGAUUUCUGGAAUGGAUCAUGGCCUAAAUCUACAUGGCCCCUGGAUUGGACUGCGGCCGAUCAGGCUGUUGGUGAGGUAAUGGCCCACCAAACCUAUAACCGGUACGGGCUCUGAGAGGAGAAGCCCGGAGAUGGGCACUGAGACAAGGGCCCAGGCCCUAUGGGGCGCAGCAGGCGCGAAACCUCUGCAAUAGGCGAAAGCCUGACAGGGUUACUCUGAGUGAUUUCCGCUAAGGGGAUCUUUUGGCACCUCUAAAAAUGGUGCAGAAUAAGGGGUGGGCAAGUCUGGUGUCAGCCGCCGCGGUAAUACCAGCACCCCGAGUGGUCGGGACGAUUAUUGGGCCUAAAGCAUCCGUAGCCGGUUCUGCAAGUCUUCCGUUAAAUCCAGCCGCUCAACGGAUGGGCCGCGGAGGAUACUACAGGACUAGGAGGCGGGAGAGGCAAGCGGUACUCAGUGGGUAGGGGUAAAAUCCUUUGAUCCAUUGAAGACCACCAGUGGCGAAGGCGGCUUGCCAGAACGCGCUCGACGGUGAGGGAUGAAAGCUGGGGGAGCAAACCGGAUUAGAUACCCGGGUAGUCCCAGCUGUAAACGAUGCAGACUCGGUGAUGGGCUAGCCUUGUGCCAGCCCAGUGCCGCAGGGAAGCCGUUAAGUUUGCCGCCUGGGAAGUACGGACGCAAGUCUGAAACUUAAAGGAAUUGGCGGGGGGAGCA